UUUUGGAGCUGGAAAAUUAAAAACAGGGGAAGCUAAGGUAAAAUACAAAGAUAUCCUGACAGGAGAAUGGCUUGGUCCUGUCCCUCUAAUUGUUUGGGGGAGAGGACAUGCUUGUGUCUCCACAGGAGCAGGUCCAAGAUGGAUACCGUCCAGAUUAGUGAGGAUCCACCAAGAAGUUUCCCUCCCAGCUCAACCAGCAGCAGAUCCAGCACCAACGGAUUCAGCACCAGCUACAGGAAGCGAUCCCUCAUCAGCAGCAUCUUCGGGAUAAUCCUGUUUUUUGCGUGCAGCAUAACACCAGCAAAUCAGAAAGCCUUAAUGUCAGGAGCCCUUGCCACACCUCCUCCAACAAUUCCUAAUUGGGUAAUGCUCUCUGGCCAAAAUGUUUGGCUAAACCUGGCACAAUCACUAAAUACUGACUCUAUCUGUCUCUCUACCUUAGAUCCCUCUCACCCUUUUAAGACCUGUCUGGUAGGAAUCCCCUGGACACCCAGCGAAUGGGGUAAUUUUAGAAAUCAGUAUAUCCCCUGGUGUGAUGACCACGAUCAGUUCAAGAAUCCAUUCUUGGACUGUCUCACAAGACCAGCAAAAACUUCACAUGACAGGCAGACAUUUAGCUAUCAGUGGCAGAGACCUGAGGAAUUAGAAAUCUUGGGGAGUAUUGUUUCUCCUCUCUGUUUUUACUUCAUUCACAACAAAUAUGUUGCCCCUCCUGAAUUAAUUAAUGUCACCUCUUAUGGACCUUAUUCCAAUUUCAGUUUCUGGUGCAAGGAAGAGGUUCCUUACCAGAUACAUGCCACCCCUGAUUCGGUUAUUCUUCCAAAAGGAGUCUUUUUAAUUUGUGGACUUAGAGUCUGGAAUAUGAUUCCCAGAUUAGCUGCUGGAGGCCCCUGCACAUUUGGAAAAUUAACACUGUACAAUCCAGCUACCCUUAUGAAAUCUUUACCUGUAAGGCCUCCCAAAAAUCAUGCAAAAAGAAACAGUGACCUCCAAAGCACCUCACCCUUCUCACAUCAUAGAGUGCGCAGGCAAUUCCAAGGUUUGCACCCACAUCUUAAUUUCUAUCCACCACAACAAAAAUCCCUUUCUCCACCUAAAGCAGUGCAGGUCCCUGUAGCUGCAGCACCCCCACAUCCAGCUGAAGAACAUCCUUUAGCAAAAUUACAGUCCCUGAGUGAAUUCACAGCAGAAUGCAACUCCAACAUGCAUUUUUGGUCAGACACUGCAAACAUUAUCAGUGGUAUACUUCCAAUUGUCAGCUCCACAAAAGCCUUAACUCUCCUUACCAGAAUGGGAUGUUGGCUAGCAAAAGAAGCUAAUGCUACAAGUGCUGCCCUUGAUGAUCUCUUACAAGAUACCCAAACCAAUAAGAAAGCUUUGUUACAAAAUCGUGCUGCAAUAGAUUUUCUCCUUCUAGUAAAUGGCCAUGGGUGUCAAGAGUUUGAAGGCCUCGGCUGCCUCAACUUCUCUGAUCACUCCUAAUCUAUCCACUCUCAGAUUAAUCAGCUUAAGUCCUUAGUUCAUGAAAUCAAGCGAGCUGAUCCUCUGACCUUUGAUGAUUUUUUCAGCUGGUUGCCCUUCAAAGGCCUCUCUUCCACUAUUAAGAAAAUUAUUGUAGUUAUCGUACUAGUACUUUCCGUAGUGUUUCUCUUUAUGUGUGUCUUUCCAUGUUUCCUUAGUUGUGCCAGAACUUCUCAAUCAUUAAAAGCAUAUCCAGCUUUAAAAGACAAAAAAGGAGGAGAUGUAGCAAGGAACUUGCCAUACACAGUAUGGAAAAAGUCCUGUCAGAUGGACUGGUGAGGAAAACAGCUCAAACCCUAUGGAAACAGAAGCUUUUACUGUAGUUUGAACAUGUCUCAACAUGUUUGUGUAUUUUCUGCAGUGUCACUGUCUCCCUCUUCCCAACACCCCCCUGUGAAGCUAUUGUCUUCCACACAAGGUGUCCCAUUGGUUCCCUGUUAACCCCUUCCUAUUGGCUGUUGACCCCUUACCUGAUGGUUUCUUUUGUGUGACCCUGAACUUGUGAUUGGUCCCCUUUGACCCUCCUAAAAGCCUUAUAAACCCCAACCCCACAAUAAACUCUCUCUUUCGUCCGUCCCUCCCA
Molecule: long non-coding RNA, 2104 nt
Organism: Manacus vitellinus (golden-collared manakin)
Lineage: Eukaryota; Metazoa; Chordata; Aves; Passeriformes; Pipridae
Source: Ensembl